This 1346-nucleotide ribosomal RNA is filed under the name uncultured bacterium. RNAcentral's name for it is "bacterial SSU rRNA". It matches the Rfam family "Bacterial small subunit ribosomal RNA", at positions 28 to 1381 of the family's 1533-position model. The record is from RNAcentral.
GACGAACGCUGGCGGCGUGCUUAACACAUGCAAGUCGAACGGAAAGGCCCUGCUUUUGUGGGGUGCUCGAGUGGCGAACGGGUGAGUAACACGUGAGUAACCUGCCCUUGACUUUGGGAUAACUUCAGGAAACUGGGGCUAAUACCGGAUAGGAGCUCCUGCUGCAUGGUGGGGGUUGGAAAGUUUCGGCGGUUGGGGAUGGACUCGCGGCUUAUCAGCUUGUUGGUGGGGUAGUGGCUUACCAAGGCUUUGACGGGUAGCCGGCCUGAGAGGGUGACCGGCCACAUUGGGACUGAGAUACGGCCCAGACUCCUACGGGAGGCAGCAGUGGGGAAUAUUGCACAAUGGGCGGAAGCCUGAUGCAGCAACGCCGCGUGCGGGAUGACGGCCUUCGGGUUGUAAACCGCUUUCGCCUGUGACGAAGCGUGAGUGACGGUAAUGGGUAAAGAAGCACCGGCUAACUACGUGCCAGCAGCCGCGGUGAUACGUAGGGUGCGAGCGUUGUCCGGAUUUAUUGGGCGUAAAGGGCUCGUAGGUGGUUGAUCGCGUCGGAAGUGUAAUCUUGGGGCUUAACCCUGAGCGUGCUUUCGAUACGGGUUGACUUGAGGAAGGUAGGGGAGAAUGGAAUUCCUGGUGGAGCGGUGGAAUGCGCAGAUAUCAGGAGGAACACCAGUGGCGAAGGCGGUUCUCUGGGCCUUUCCUGACGCUGAGGAGCGAAAGCGUGGGGAGCGAACAGGCUUAGAUACCCUGGUAGUCCACGCUGUAAACGGUGGGUACUAGGUGUGGGGUCCAUUCCACGGGUUCCGUGCCGUAGCUAACGCUUUAAGUACCCCGCCUGGGGAGUACGGCCGCAAGGCUAAAACUCAAAGGAAUUGACGGGGCCCCGCACAAGCGGCGGAGCAUGCGGAUUAAUUCGAUGCAACGCGUAGAACCUUACCUGGGUUUGACAUGGAUCGGGAGUGCCCAGAGAUGGGUGUGCCUCUUUUGGGGUCGGUUCACAGGUGGUGCAUGCCUGUCGUCAGCUCGUGUCGUGAGAUGUUGGGUUAAGUCCCGCAACGAGCGCAACCCUUGUUCACUGUUGCCAGCACGUUAUGGUGGGGACUCAGUGGAGACCGCCGGGGUCAACUCGGAGGAAGGUGGGGAUGACGUCAAGUCAUCAUGCCCCUUAUGUCCAGGGCUUCACGCAUGCUACAAUGGCUGGUACAGAGAGUGGCGAGCCUGUGAGGGUGAGCGAAUCUCGGAAAGCCGGUCUCAGUUCGGAUUGGGGUCUGCAACUCGACCUCAUGAAGUCGGAGUCGCUAGUAAUCGCAGAUCAGCAACGCUGCGGUGAAUACGUUCCCGGGGCU